AUGAGUGCCUGUCCAACCCAUUUUUUGAUGCAUUGCAGCGGUCUCGCUACCGGUCACGUCGUGGCCGGAAAUGCGCUUCCGGGGCAGCGUGUCAGCACAGCAGUCAAGCCGCUUGCCUCGUCAGUCGGGGCGGCGGCUUUUUUG
Small RNA from Paraburkholderia tropica, 144 nucleotides. It matches the Rfam family "Burkholderia sRNA 2". Rfam says of the family: Upregulated in response to iron ion depletion. Predicted targets include MerR family transcriptional regulator. The record is from Rfam. NCBI's taxonomy places the organism in Bacteria, Pseudomonadati, Pseudomonadota, Betaproteobacteria, Burkholderiales, Burkholderiaceae.